ACUUGUGGUGGUUUCUUUCUGGCACAUUUGUUAAGUUUCAAAUGGGCCUGACUCUGCCACAUACAUUAUAUAGGAGCUAGCAAAGGCUUGAAAACAGAAUUCUCUCUUGAGCUACAUCAGAGAUGGGCUCCCACAUGU
Perognathus longimembris pacificus (Pacific pocket mouse) is the source of this 138-nucleotide small nucleolar RNA. RefSeq annotates it as small nucleolar RNA SNORA12. NCBI's taxonomy places the organism in Eukaryota, Metazoa, Chordata, Mammalia, Rodentia, Heteromyidae. The transcript has a single exon. The record is from RefSeq and is a predicted model, not a curated record.